AAAAACAUUGCUUCAUGAGAAUAAUAUGUGAGGUAUGCUCUGCCCAGUGACUUAUGAGUUAAACGGCCGCGGUACCCUGACUGUGCUAAGGUAGCGUGAUAAUUCGCCCUUUAAUUGUGGGCUUGUACGAAUGGGUUAACGAGGGUUUUACUGUCUCCUUUUUACUAUUAGAAAUUAAUAUUCAGGUGAAAAGGCCUGAAUUAUUAUGCAGGACAAAAAGACCCCAUAGAGCUUUGUUUUAUUGUAGUUAAUUAAAAGAAUUGAUGAAUAUUUUUUAUUUUAUAGAAUAAAACUUAACUGGGGCGGUUGAGGAAAACUUUAAUCUUCCUUUAUUAAUAAGCGCUUGUAAGGCUCAAAUAUAAGAUCCUAUGAAUAGAUUGAAGAAAAGCUACCUUGGGGGUAACAGACUAAUUUUUUUUGAGAGUCCAUAUUGACAAAAAAGUUUGGCACAUCGAUGUUGGCUUAGGGUAACCUUAAGAUAGUAGAAGUCUUUUAAGGUAGGUUUGUUCAACCUUUAAAUCCCUACGUGAUCUGA
RNAcentral lists this ribosomal RNA (535 nucleotides) under Ampharete sp. ZMBN 95437. Its description in RNAcentral is "partial 16S ribosomal RNA". It matches the Rfam family "Bacterial large subunit ribosomal RNA", at positions 1809 to 2608 of the family's 2925-position model. Lineage: Eukaryota; Metazoa; Annelida; Polychaeta; Terebellida; Ampharetidae. The record is from RNAcentral.